RNAcentral lists this ribosomal RNA (1436 nucleotides) under uncultured bacterium. RNAcentral describes it as "bacterial SSU rRNA". It matches the Rfam family "Bacterial small subunit ribosomal RNA". The record is from RNAcentral.
AGAGUUUGAUCCUGGCUCAGAACGUACGCUGGCGGCACGCCUAACACAUGCAAGUCGAACGAAGUAGCAAUACUUAGUGGCAGACGGGUGAGUAACAUGUAGGUAUCUGCCCUUUGGCCUGGAAUAACACGAGGAAACUUGUGCUAAUACCGGAUAAGUCUUUACGGAGAAAGCUUUAUGCACCAUUGGAUGAGCCUGCACUUGAUUAGUUUGUUGGUGGGGUAAUGGCCUACCAAGACUGUGAUCAAUAGCUGAUUUGAGAGGAUGAUCAGCCACAUUGGGACUGAGACACGGCCCAAACUCCUACGGGAGGCAGCAGUGGGGAAUCUUGCACAAUGGAGGAAACUCUGAUGCAGCGAUGCCGCGUGAGUGAAGAAGGCCCUUGGGUUGUAAAGCUCUUUCGUCGGGGAAGAAAAUGACUGUACCCGAAUAAGAAGGUCCGGCUAACUUCGUGCCAGCAGCCGCGGUAAUACGAAGGGACCUAGCGUAGUUCGGAAUUACUGGGCUUAAAGAGUUCGUAGGUGGUUGAAAAAGUUAGUGGUGAAAUCCCAGAGCUUAACUCUGGAACUGCCAUUAAAACUUUUCAGCUAGAGUAUGAUAGAGGAAUGCAGAAUUUCUAGUGUAGAGGUGAAAUUCGUAGAUAUUAGAAAGAAUACCAAUUGCGAAGGCAGCUUUCUGGAUCAUUACUGACACUGAGGAACGAAAGCAUGGGUAGCGAAGAGGAUUAGAUACCCUCGUAGUCCAUGCCGUAAACGAUGUGUGUUAGACGUUGGAAAUUUAUUUUCAGUGUCGCAGGGAAACCGAUAAACACACCGCCUGGGGAGUACGACCGCAAGGUUAAAACUCAAAUGAAUUGACGGGGACCCGCACAAGUAGUGGAGCAUGUGGUUUAAUUCGAAGAUACGCGCAGAACCUUACCAACACUUGACAUGUUCGUCGCGACUCUAAGAGAUUAGAGUUUUCGGUUCGGCCGGACGAAACACAGGUGCUGCAUGGCUGUCGUCAGCUCGUGUCGUGAGAUGUUGGGUUAAGUCCCGCAACGAGCGCAACCCUCACUUUUAGUUGCCAUCAUUAAGUUGGGCACUCUGAAAGAACUGCCAGUGAUAAGCUGGAGGAAGGUGGGGAUGACGUCAAGUCCUCAUGGCCCUUACGUGUUGGGCUACACACGUGCUACAAUGGUAUCUACAACAGGAAGCAAAACGGCGACGUUAAGCAAAUCCUUAAAAGAUACCUCAGUUCGGAUUGCACUCUGCAACUCGAGUGCAUGAAGCUGGAAUUACUAGUAAUCGUGGAUCAGCGUGCCACGGUGAAUGCGUUCCCGGGUCUUGUACACACCGCCCGUCACACCAUGGGAGUUGGUUCUACCUUAAGGCAAGGUUUAGAACCCUUGACCACGGUAUAGUCAGCGACUGGGGUGAAGUCGUAACAAGGUAACC